UCCGCGGUAGCUCAACGGUAGAGCGCCUCUCUGUUAAAGAGGAUGUUGAAGGUUCGAAUCCUUCCCGCGGAGCCA
This 75-nucleotide transfer RNA is filed under the name bacterium. RNAcentral's name for it is "tRNA-Asn". It matches the Rfam family "tRNA". Rfam says of the family: Transfer RNA (tRNA) molecules are approximately 80 nucleotides in length. Their secondary structure includes four short double-helical elements and three loops (D, anti-codon, and T loops). Further hydrogen bonds mediate the characteristic L-shaped molecular structure. tRNAs have two regions of fundamental functional importance: the anti-codon, which is responsible for specific mRNA codon recognition, and the 3' end, to which the tRNAs corresponding amino acid is attached (by aminoacyl-tRNA synthetases). tRNAs cope with the degeneracy of the genetic code in two manners: having more than one tRNA (with a specific anti-codon) for a particular amino acid; and 'wobble' base-pairing, i.e. permitting non-standard base-pairing at the 3rd anti-codon position. The record is from RNAcentral.